This is a long non-coding RNA of Triticum aestivum (bread wheat), 4191 nucleotides long. RefSeq lists it as uncharacterized. The record is from RefSeq and is a predicted model, not a curated record. The transcript has 2 exons. NCBI's taxonomy places the organism in Eukaryota, Viridiplantae, Streptophyta, Magnoliopsida, Poales, Poaceae.
CAGGUCCUUCGUCUUCAAACGACUGAUCUCCGUAUAGUUCUCCUGCAGUCCUGUUCCCCUAUCGCUCGUCGACGGUGGCGGCUGCACAGAUCUGGUGCUUACCUGGUGGACGACGACUACUCCCUGGGCAGUUGCUCCCUGCCUCCUCCGGUCCUCCCCCUCCCACUCCGGCUUCCAGGUCUCUUGGCUCCAUCUACCGCGCAUCCCGACGACGCGCUGCACAUCCUCGUCAGGGACUGGCCGGGCCGCCGCCGCCGGUCUCCUCCACCCCGAUGACCACGGGCUCCCCACCCGCUCAGAUGCACAUGUGUACCUUUCCGGAGCCAAGCUGGUAGUGGUCGAGUGGACGGUGGUGUCUCCACGGUCGCGUCCUCCCCGGCAGUCUAGAUCCAGCAGUAUCUCACCGUAGGCAAGCUGGUGGUGCUCGAUCUGCUCGCCUUCUUCGCCUCGCAGGCUCAGCAUCAAGUACGAGCGGACGCGUCGCUGGACGAAGCCACGGGCAAUGGGACGAGGCAUCGGCGACACUGACUGCAGGAUUGACACCGUCUCUGCAGGUCCCUGAUGUGGGUGCACCGCACUGCUUGGCGGUGCAUGGCCGGAGCUCCCGCCGACCAUCAGGUUAAGGCGGGGAGAGCAGGUGGCAUGCAAACUGAAUCAGGCGGAGAGCGCGGGCACUCGAAGACGCGACUCCUGAAUGACGGCUUGACCACAGCGGUCGACAAUCUGAAAAUAUCACCGGUAAAAUACUGGUUGCUUCUAUUUAAAGACAUUAUAACUGUGCACUCUAGGAGGCUUCUCACGCCCUCACCAUUCUGAACCGCCCGAUCCAUCCCCUAGACGUUUUUUGGCCGUUGGAUUGACUUUUCGGUGAAAACACUUCCCACAACUGGGCUGGAUAUUCUAUGGGCCGCUAUUCCUGGAACAAAAUCCGCGUUCUCUAAUUAACUGGGCCCUCUCGGUUGCGGGGUAUGACAGAAAAAUGGCUUGCAGGCCUAGCAUCGGACAAAGCCCACCAAGCAAAUCAGUAAUCCGAUCACACUUCAGCCAUGAGAAAAAAAAACGAUCCAAAGAGAGAUCGAUCGAGCGAACGGCAGAUAGCCUUCCUGAUCGGCCGGCCAAGGCGGAGCGACAAUGCCAGAGAGGCGACGCGAGAGUCACCGACCAAAGCGGAUCUCCUCGCACACCUCGGCAACCGAAGCGGUAGAAACAUGCGAAACGGCACGGCAGACUUAGAUCGACGUCCGAUCUGCCGGUAGUUCCUGGAAGCCUUCAUAGCGGUUGAUGUGCGCCACUCACGGCGUUGAUUAGUGGAUGUAUGUUAUUGCUUUGGCAGCCUACACCUGUCGUCGUUCGUGCGCUUGUAAAUAUAUGCUUCGUGGCCUCAUGCUCCCCCGUUGUUCCAGCAGCAGAACCAAGCAGCUCCUCCACCACCCAUGUGUCCUUCUCACUAUGGGUUUUCGUUCAUUAUCUCGAGCUUCAUCUUGUGCAGGACUGUCCAUGUUGAUUUGGCAACCUUCUGUCUUCUCCCCUGUUUGAGAUUUCUCUUCAUGCGCUUUCUGAUAAUCUCUUGAGAGAGUAUUUCCAUUAGGGCCUGCCAAGUGUUUGGUACUUGUUCGGCACGGUCGAUUCUGAUUUUUGGGACUUCACAGUUACAGAGAAUAGAUGAGGCCAUUUUAUAUCUGAAAAUUAUUAUCUUCCCCUCUGCCGCUUUAAAUCUCUUCAGGUUCAGGUUGAUUUUAAGUUUUGGUAGCAAUUGGUGGAUCGGUUAACAAGUACUACAACUACUAUUUGCUAUUACCAUGCACUUAGUUUUUUCACUGUAUUGGUUACCUGAUGAAUCAUGCAGUUAUUCAGGUUAUGACUUAUGAAAGGAAAAUAUUGAUUGUGCUGGUGAACAUAAAGCUGGUGGGAACUCUCUUAUAAGUCUUACUAUAUUGACAUUUAGACCUAAAAUAGCUUCAGAACUGAUUCAGGUACAACCGAAAAUUCUAUGAAAUGUCACCAUGGGUGAGAAUAGCUACAGCAUCUACAAUGCAUACACUUAUAUGUAGUUUUUUAAAGGGGAAUUUAGCCUCAUAUGUAUAUGUGUUAGUCUUAUAUGUAAAAUUUAGCCUCAUAUGGUGCCUUACGCCAUCCUGUGUCCAGUAUGUGACACGUGAUAGUACUUGUUUGAUUAAAUUCUGAGUUUCUGAUUGUAUUGUCCAUCUUGCACAUGAUAGUACCUGCUAUCAGAAUAUUCUCUCAUAACUGUGAGCUUUCCUUCUUUUGUUUUGUGCAAGUCGACCCCUUUUCGAUGAUGACCUAUUUUGGACAGGCUCUUCACUUACCAUAUGGAGCUUCCAGUUUGUAACUUAUUUAGAGUAGCAUUCAGUCAGGUUGCUCUUAAUAAAUGAAAGAUCUUAUUACUACAUAUCCACAUGGCUCCUUGUAUGGUACAUCUCAGUGCUAUUUGAUUCCCUACCUAAUUAAAUUCCCGCAUUAGGAAUCUUCGUCCGCGGAUGUAAUGCUGCACUCAAGAAUCGAGCAGAUUUCUUUCUUUCUUUUUGCUGUUGAAGAUGGAUGUCCUGUGUAUAAACCAGCGAGGAUUUAAUUGGUGUGUCAUGCAUAAAAGUUAAAGUCAACAUUGAAAGUUUGUCAAACUUCAUGUACAUGUUUGUUUCCUACUGCUGAUUUAAUUGGCAGUUUCUUAUAGUAAUACUAGAUUGUUGUGUAUGUUUUCAUAACAAGCCAAUUUGUAUACUGACUACUUUUGAACUGACUGACGCCAUAAAUCCAUCCAAAAUCAAUAAAACUCAUGUGUCCUCUGCCAACAAAUAGUUCCAACAUAAGUAGGUAAUAAAUUAGGAUUGUGUACAUUGCAAAAACUGCCUUGCAGUACAUUUGUCAAAUAUCCAUCAAGAGUCUAUAUUAAGGCACGACCAGUAAGUCCAACUGAAUCAACUUCCAAGUCCACUUGACACAACACAAAUCCCAGCUCUCAUCUAAUACCACAUUACUUUCUUGCAAAAAUCUUAUUGUCCGAUAACUAAGUAAUGCCACGAUCGAGUUUUUGCAAAGUUUUUUUUCAUCGUGUGUCCAUGGCUCUGUAUAUUUACAAAUAUUAUAUUAUUUAGUUGUCAAAAUAGACGGGUGCGGCAACGCGCGCCAUCGAUGAUCUAGUUGCUUCUAUGGGAUAAUAAAAUACACCGGUAAAGUAUUUACAGGCGUAUACAAGGCCUACAAUCGGGGUCUUAAGGAGGUAAAGAAUUCUACUUGCUGUUAAACCCUCGCUGAUUCUCCAUAGAAAAACUUGUAACGCCCUGAACUUGUGUGAAAAUUUUGAUUGAAGCAAGAUCUUUUUUAGAAUCUCUAGUCUCUACAUACAAGAGCAGAAAAUGGUUCUCUUCCAUGUAUUUGACUCAUGUUUUUUGCUUUGGAUCUGUGUGCGGACUUGCCUUUGUGCCGUCGUAAUAUAUUUAUUUGUUUGUUGCUGUUAGAGUUUCAAUUUUCCUUUUUUUAGAACCAAAAUUCAUGGGCAGCAAUAAGAAAGUGCUGGGAUUGCAAUGUCAUAUCAGUGCUCCAGAAAAGUGUUCCUUUUACGUUUUAACCAUGCAUUUUUUAAAGUAAUACUUGCUGUCCAAUGGAAUCAAUCAGAAUAACAACUUCAGUGUAAUGAAGGAUAAAGCAUUUUUACUUUCAGCUCCUCCCUGUGCUUGUGAUGGAUUGGUCCAUUAUCUGUGCUUGACAUGUACUCUCAUAUUUGUGUUUGGGGUGGUCCAGCAUGGGAUGAACUAGGAACAGAUUGGCUUAACCAUAUAAAGUUUUCUUGCAUAAUCAGUGAUCUAGUACAAGCGACUACUGUACAAUUUGGGCAUCAACGAUGUGAGGAUUUGAAAUUGGGAUAAAAUGAUUGGAUAUGAGAAAGUUGGGGUUCUUACUGCAAAAGUCAUGUUUUACAUCUGGCUGGCAGUAGGGGGGUUUUCGUGAAAUGUACAAUAAGUUGUCUGAAAUGCCUCCACUCCAAUCUGUGCCGUCCAUAUUCAAUCCAACAGCCCAUGUUUCUUUUUUCUAUUCUUCUACCAUAAGCUCAGCUUUUAUACUAGUUGCUCCCCCAUGAUAUUCACAGCAAGAUAUACUGGCUGGUGUGCUGCCCACCCAGCAAGAACAAAAAAAAAAGUUCAAAGCUCACCAUUUUUAAUUGCAUUCCAAGUU